GCCGUCCCAGUUCGGAUCGCAGGCUGCAACCCGCCUGCGUGAAGUUGGAAUCGCUAGUAAUCGCGGAUCAGCAUGCCGCGGUGAAUACGUUCCCGGGCCUUGUACACACCGCCCGUCACACCAUGAGAGUCGGGAACACCCGAAGUCCGUAGCCUAACCGCAAGGGGGGCGCGGCCGAAGGUGGGUUCGAUAAUUGGGGUGAAGUCGUAACAAGGUAGC
RNAcentral lists this ribosomal RNA (219 nucleotides) under uncultured bacterium. Its description in RNAcentral is "partial 16S ribosomal RNA". It matches the Rfam family "Bacterial small subunit ribosomal RNA", at positions 1282 to 1500 of the family's 1533-position model. The record is from RNAcentral.